Molecule: long non-coding RNA, 1105 nt
Organism: Lates calcarifer (barramundi perch)
Lineage: Eukaryota; Metazoa; Chordata; Actinopteri; Centropomidae
Exons: 3
Source: RefSeq, a predicted model, not a curated record
AGCAGGGGCCCCCCCAUGAGGUGUGUGUGAGGCCGCCUCGCUGUUUUUGAUUGUUAAAAGCUUACACAAUCAUGACUUCCGGCCGCUCUUUCACUGAAAAUUGUUUAAAAACUGCGGAGUGCGGUGACACAAGACUGGUUGAGUGGACAGCUUUUUAAAACAUUUAGAAUGAACGCGUAAGGAAGCUGAACGUGGAGCAGAUUGAGGAGGACUUCGCACAAGACUCGCGAGAAUCACGCUCAAACAGGGAGUCUGCCCUCGGGGAAUGGAUGCCUGGCUUUGGUCCCGACAGACACAUCUUCAUAUUAUGAGAAGUGGAAGCACUGGGAUAAACAAGAAUGCAGGAGACAUCGUGAACAAAGUUCUGCCUGCAUGCCUGUCCUGGGAACCUGCAAAGAUAAAGUGGAAACUACCAGUGUUAUUGCGAGUUAAGACUGGCUGACAAAGCUGUCAGCAACCCAGCAGGAGAGACACUCUACAGCGCAGUAGGAUUUCAAUAUUUCAUAUGUUCCAGCCACGUAUGUGUCUGUUUGUUUUUGUUUUUUUUAUCUAGUCUUGUUUUGGCAGUUACCAAACUGCUCCAGCUGUUUUACCAACACCCUCUGGACUUGAGUGGGUCUGAUCCUAAAUUUCAUUUAGGCGAAAAAAAACAAGACAUACUGCAAUUGCAUUUGUGAGCUGACCGAUACAGUACCAGUCAAAAGUUUGGACACACCCUCUCAUUCAAUGAUUUUUCUCUAUUUUUAUUAUUUUCUACAUUGUAGAUUAAUAUUGCUAUCCUAUCCUAAGUUUAUCUUAAUUUUCUCUGGCUACAAAACACGUGAAAGGACAAGCGUAAAUGGGGCUAGGGCCCUCCUUGACAUAUAUUUAUCUGUGUUUUUCUUCUCCUGAGAACAGUUUACCUUAAGCUCCACUGGAUUAUAAUGAAAACAGAACUCUUUCACCUUGACAUCACUGUAACCUGUGCAAACAGUUGUCUAUUUAAUGCUUUGAAAAAGAAUCUGGAUUGUAUGGCUACCUUAAUUGUACUUGAUAUCUGAACUGUAAACCUUGAGAGCUAAGCCAUGUCAUCAUCUCUGCAGGUUGUCAAUAAAUUAAUUAUGAC